This 435-nucleotide ribosomal RNA is filed under the name uncultured bacterium. RNAcentral describes it as "bacterial SSU rRNA". It matches the Rfam family "Bacterial small subunit ribosomal RNA", at positions 917 to 1350 of the family's 1533-position model. The record is from RNAcentral.
GGACCCGCACAAGUAGUGGAGCAUGUGGUUUAAUUCGAAGAUACGCGCAGAACCUUACCAACACUUGACAUGUUCGUCGCGACUCUAAGAGAUUAGAGUUUUCGGUUCGGCCGGACGAAACACAGGUGCUGCAUGGCUGUCGUCAGCUCGUGUCGUGAGAUGUUGGGUUAAGUCCCGCAACGAGCGCAACCCUCACUUUUAGUUGCCAUCAUUAAGUUGGGCACUCUGAAAGAACUGCCAGUGAUAAGCUGGAGGAAGGUGGGGAUGACGUCAAGUCCUCAUGGCCCUUACGUGUUGGGCUACACACGUGCUACAAUGGUAUCUACAACAGGAAGCAAGACUGCGAAGUUUAGCAAAUCCCUAAAAGAUACCUCAGUUCGGAUUGCACUCUGCAACUCGAGUGCAUGAAGCUGGAAUUACUAGUAAUCGUGGAUC